Molecule: long non-coding RNA, 760 nt
Organism: Zingiber officinale
Lineage: Eukaryota; Viridiplantae; Streptophyta; Magnoliopsida; Zingiberales; Zingiberaceae
Exons: 3
Source: RefSeq, a predicted model, not a curated record
GGGAUGUGUGAUGCCAGGACUAUGGAAGCCUUGGGACUUAGUUUAAGAAUUUAUUAAAAAUGUAUUAGAUGAGUCAUUUAGUCUUCCGCUGUUAGUUAACUGUAUGUUUUUAUUUUGUUUCCGCUGUUUAUUACUUGCGUGCUUGGAUUUCAUUAAACUGCGUGGUGAUGUUAUUCCUUUUAGUUGUGAAAAUAUAUGUUCCAGCCGCCUGUGACUGAGUAUAGUUUGUUUGUAUUGUUGAUUUGGUCACCGGUACAGGGGGGACUCUGCCGAAAUUUUUCGGUAGGGUUUCCAUGUGAUUUUUAAUCAUACCGGUUAAGUAGAGUUAGUAGUUAAGUAACGGUCAUCCUUAGAGAGUAGUAGUAGUAAGAAGGGUGGUCGUUACAUUAUAUUUCCAAACUAGGGUGGAAUAAACCUAAUUACUUCAUUAGGUGGAAUGGGAUCUGAAUUUAUCCUUAUCCAGGACUCAAUGUAAGUUGCCAUUAAUAUGAUUUUUCCUUUUGAUUAAUAUUGUAGAUGAUCUUCGUUGAAAGAGGAUCCUGUGAGUUGUUGAUUCAUGUCUUGGAUUAAAAAGAAGAAAAUGUGAAGGAAUGAUAUAGUUCUGAUUGAGGUUCGGUUGAGGAUGUUGGGGAUCUUUUGAGGAUUCGGAUUUGGGACGAACACUUCAACAUAGAGGUUGAUUAGCUCGAUCUAUUUGAGGUACCAGGUUGUUUACGGAGACGCUUGGAGUAUCCUGUCUGCCGGUCCCCACGUCACAUCA